Long non-coding RNA from Homo sapiens (human), 3208 nucleotides. RefSeq lists it as uncharacterized. The transcript is spliced from 2 exons. The record is from RefSeq and is a predicted model, not a curated record. NCBI's taxonomy places the organism in Eukaryota, Metazoa, Chordata, Mammalia, Primates, Hominidae.
AGCAAAGACGACCAGCCGAGGAUGGCUGGCGGAGGCGUGGGGCAGGCCGCAGGACCCUCGAAGGAUCGUGUGAGACCCCGGGCAGCCUCUUGGGAGGCCAUUUCGAGGAGAAAACCUUGAUUUCUGCCUCAGGACCCUGGGCCUCAGUUUUCCUAUCUGAGAAGAAGGGCGAAGAGCUGUGCCCCCGACCACACCCGUCGGUGAUGGGGCAAACCGAGGGCAAGCAGAGGAGCGCUUCACUUUUGGUCAUCCCUUGGGCCACCAGGGCCUUCCCGUCUCCGUCUUCCCAUCGCAGGUCCUGGCCUCCUUCACACCACUCCAGGAUACCGCAGCAUCUCCCCCAGCGCAGCAGACGGAGGGCGCUUCACAUGCCCCCGGACCUAAGCCCACUCUCCCCUUCAAGAUCUGGACUCCACUUUUUUGCAACACUCUUAACUUCUUUGGAAGCUGGGAAGCCUCCUACUCCCUUGGGCCUCUCCACCCUGCCCUCAGCUAACUCGUCGGCAAGCCCCAGCCUAGACAUUGCCUGUUUUGUGAAGACAUCUAGAUGCUGGGCUGUCUGUUGAGUGCCCCACCCUGUGUUUGAGCAGCACCCUCUACUUCCCCUGUUCUACUUGCAUGUUUAUGUGCUCGUCUUCCUCAUUAUAAGAUCCACAGGGGAGGGGCCAUGUCUAUAUUAUUCAUACUUACAGUCCAGUGUCUAGUAUCUGGCACGUAGUAGGCACUCACUAGCUAUUGAGAUAUAAAUAUAGAUAUUUGUUGAAUUGAAAAUGAAUUGGGCCGGGCGUGGUGGCUCACGCCUGUAAUCCCAGAACUUUGGGAGGCCGAGGCAGGUGGAUCACUAGGUCAGGAGUUCGAGACAAGUCUGACCAAAAUGGUGAAACCCAGUCUCUACUAAAAAUACAAAAAUUAGCUGGGCGUGGUGGCACGUGCCUGUAAUCCCAGCUAUUCAGGAGGCUGAGGCGGGAGAAUCGCUUGAACCCCGGGAGGUGGAGGUUGCAGUGAGUCGAGAUUGCACCACUACACUCCAGCCUGGACAACAGAGUGAGACCCUGUCUCAAAAAAAAAAAAAAAAAAAGAGAAAAAGAAUAAAAUUAAAAAAAAGAAAAUAAAGGAACCUCAUUCACAUACACCUCCAAAACUCUGAUUUCCUAAAGUUGGGCAUUUCUCAUUGCUGGAGGUGUUCAGUUAGAGGCAUGCCGCCCCCUUGAAGAAAUGUUUAUUUCAUUUGUACAGUGGGUUGGGAUUUUACCUGAAUGCUUUGAGUACCCUUUUAAUCCUAUGAUGCUAGAGAUUGAUAGACCCAUGCCUAUUAUUCCUGUCAGUUCUCCCUGAAAUGUCAUCAGUUCUUCAUGUUCCGCUAUUUCUAGCUGUUGGCCCUACUCGUUUCUGUGCCUAAAUGCCCUACCUCCCACUCCUUUUCUGAGAAAGAUCUUCUGCCCUGUCAGUUAUGAAGUAAAGAUGUCCUAAGAUUCCUGCUCUUUCUUUUUUCUUUCUUUCUUUCUCUCUCUUUUUUUUUUUUUUCGACGGAGUUUCGCUCUUGUUGCCUGGAGUGCAAUGGCUGGAGUGCAAUGGCGCGAUCUCAGCUCACUGCAGCCUCUGCCACCUAGGCCCACCUUGGUCUCCCCAAGUGCUGGCAUUACAGGUGUGAGCCACUGUGCCCGGCCUCCUGCUCUUCUUUCAACCCUCUGCUCAGCAUCUUAGGCCUCAUUGGUGAUGUCCCACCUUGCUAGGUAGCAUCUUUCCUGAAUAUUUCUCCACUAAACAUUCUGAUGUUGGCUAGAUGGCCUAGUUAAUCUACACAUUUCAUUUUAUCACCUUCUCCAGAUGUUUUUUUGUGUAUGUCAGCUGAUACACUCUGGGGAGAAUGCCUUAAUAUAUGGGAAUAAUUAACUCAUGGCCAAGAAGGAAAUAACCAAGGGGACUUUUACUCUGGACCUAAUUCAAACCAAAGAGACAGAGCCUGAGAGAAAGCAGCUCUGUCAUCCUUGAGUUAGUAACAUCCAGGAAGGGAAGGCUAGGGUGGGGGAGUGAGUAAAACAGAUGGCAUUUAGGGAAGAACCAACAGGACUUUAAGAGGCAUGGCAGAGGGGCUUUGAUCCUGGCUAAACCAUCAGGGAAGGCAAUUGGAGCUGGGUGAACAGAUGGGGUCUUAUUACUGAAGAGAAAACGGUAAGGAGGCAGGGGGAAAUGGGACGUGUGCUAAAGCAGAGUGCCUCAUUCAGUGGAUGCAGUGAGAGCAGAGGCUGUUGGAAAAGUGGAUCAGGGAGGACCAUGCCACCAGGUGGGCAUCAGCAGAGUAUCACCCGAGUAUUGCAGAGGGAUACCAAAUAAGUCCACCUGAAGCCAGAGCUGAAACCCUGUGGAGGUCCGUUUACCCCUUCAGAAGUAGUGUACCACCAUCCAUCUACCACUGGAAUCCAAUUUCAGUUUUGGCAAAUUGUUAUAAAUAGGAAAAAGUCAGGGUUCCACAAUUCUGGCAGCACCCAGAGACUAUAACAGCAUCUGCACAGCCAAGUAGAGUUAGGAAACCUGGAUCCUAAUCCUGACUUUGCCUCUGAUUAGAUGUGUGAUCCUGGGCUGGAGCUGUUUUUUCAGUUGUAAAAUGCUGUUUAUUGGUGUUAGGUAGCAGCUAAUAAGGCUGGAGGUGGGGCUGGGUGUAGUGGCUCACACAUGUAAUCUCAGCAGUUUGACAGGCCAAGGCAGGAGGAUUGCUGGAGGCCAGGGAUUUGAGACCAGCUUGGGCUACAUAGUGAGACUCUGCCUGUACUAAAAAUUAAAAAAAAAAAAAAUAACUCAGUGCAGUGGCGCAUGCCUGUAGUCCCAGCUACUCAGGAGGUUGGGGUGGGAGGGUUGCUUGAGCCCAGGAGUUUGAGGCUGCAGUGAACUAUGAUCAAUCACACCACUGCAUUCUAGUAGCCUGAGUGACAGAGCAAGACCUGUCUCUAAAAAAAAAGAAAUUUUUUUUAAGGGUGGAGGUAGGGAAAUUCAAAGCUACUUACUAGCUGUGUGACCUUGCCUAAACUACCUCCUUGGAUUUGCAGUCUGUUUAUUUGAAAAUGUCAUAAGGGAUAAAUGAGAUUCCUUAUGUAAAGUACUUUAUAAAUAUUAAGCACUUACCAAAUGUUAGUCUGUUUUCACAUUAUUCUUCUUGGAUUACCAGAAAUUGGUUUGACCAUGAAUAAACAGGAGAUAAUUUCUUGGGUAA